This 276-nucleotide ribosomal RNA is filed under the name Bacillus sp. PR2.1. RNAcentral's name for it is "partial 16S ribosomal RNA". It matches the Rfam family "Bacterial small subunit ribosomal RNA", at positions 96 to 357 of the family's 1533-position model. The record is from RNAcentral. Lineage: Bacteria; Bacillati; Bacillota; Bacilli; Caryophanales; Bacillaceae.
CGGCGGACGGGUGAGUAACACGUGGGUAACCUGCCUGUAAGACUGGGAUAACUCCGGGAAACCGGGGCUAAUACCGGAUGCUUGAUUGAACCGCAUGGUUCAAUCAUAAAAGGUGGCUUUCAGCUACCACUUGCAGAUGGACCCGCGGCGCAUUAGCUAGUUGGUGAGGUAACGGCUCACCAAGGCGACGAUGCGUAGCCGACCUGAGAGGGUGAUCGGCCACACUGGGACUGAGACACGGCCCAGACUCCUACGGGAGGCAGCAGUGGUCAUAGC